AUUAACACACACAGAAACACGAAUAUUCACAAUAGUAGAAUGAUUCCUUUAAAAUACAUGCUUACUCAUUAAACAAGUCCUAAUACAACUCAUUUUUUAGGCACGCACAAAUACAUCAAUAAAAUCACAAAAGAACUAAUCAGCACUUGUCAAGUCUAUAGCCAGAUUGGACUGAGUUUGAGUUCAUUGUGAAAGUCCUAUUUCACACUAGUUGUUGCUAUUGCAUUAAUAAACAAAAAACAGUUGAUGAAAACAAAAACAUCAUAAUAGUAAUCAAGAUUGUCAACAAGUUCUACGUUUCACCCUAUCAUAUUAUUGCGAAAAU
RNAcentral lists this unclassified non-coding RNA (325 nucleotides) under Hevea brasiliensis (rubber tree). Lineage: Eukaryota; Viridiplantae; Streptophyta; Magnoliopsida; Malpighiales; Euphorbiaceae. The record is from RNAcentral.